GUAAAGCCUACUGUCCAUCUGAUUUUCCAAUCUCAACAAGAUCAAAUCUUUUUUCAUUUUUGUUAAGUAGCUAUGGAUUCUAUCACUUUCAUUUGUAGCUGCUUAUCUUGUUACCCAUUAGUUUGCUCAUUAAAUUUAGCCAUGAUCAUCUUCACUUGGACAUUUUUCUCAUGUUGAAUUGGGUAAUUCAACAGUUAGUGAUGCAAGUUAGUUAUCAAUAUGCAAGAAACAAUACAAUCUCGGGUGGUGGUUCAAUGGCCCGUGAAAAUCCUCAAAUUGAUUAGGUACACACUAGGGUAUGGAUUCGAAUCCUGCAAUGGGAAUUUUCUUGCCUGAGUAGUGUAAAUCAACUUGGUUCCCAUCGAUACCCUGGUAAGGCUAGAUCAGGCUAUGACUUAGUCAAAUUUGAGGGAGCGCAUGUGGUUCUCACCGUUAAGGCCCCUUCUUGUACGGCUCCCAAUGGAUAGGUCCUACUAUAGUUAUGCCCAAAUAGAAUAUUCACAAUUGGGCUUGUCCACCUGCCCUUUUAAUUAGAAUAUUAUAUGCAAGAAACAAAAUUUGUUUUCUAUUUUUGCAUCUUUGUUUUGAGAGUCACUUAGUUCUAGUGAAAACAUGUGUACUCAGAUGGGAAGCUCCUCUUGAGGGAUGGUGGCAAGUAAAUACUGAUCCUUCUGGUUGCAGAAGUCAGCCAAUUUUUGGCUGGCUUCUACAAGUGUUCCCUGUAGUAACUCUUUCAUGAGCUCCAAGCUACAUUGGAAGGGAAGGCCUUUGCCUUGAACUGGAAAGAAUAAUAAUGCCACAAUGAGCAGAGUUCCUGUGGGCUCAAUAAAUGCUUUUUCCACGGGGAAUUAAAGCUAUACUUAGCAGAUUCAGCAGCUGGCAAGGAGCAUUGAGGUUUCUUUUUGUCUAUUCCUGAUAGGAUUAUGGAGUUGUUGGUUAGGUACUUUAAUAAAGAUUUUUAAUUCUACCAAAGUAAAAAAGAAAUGCUGAUUUUUAAGGGUGUGAGCUUCUGCAAUAAAAUUUCACCCUUUGCCAAAAGGUUUGGACAAAAACAACAGGGUUUAAGAAAAUCUAUAGCUAAUUUUGAUGAUUAUCUGUGUGUUGCUAAUCUAAUGAUAUUAAUCAUGGAAAUCAUUUUUGGCUUUUAACGCUGCUACUUUUCAUUUUCAAGUUUCAUUGACUCUUUUUGUAAUUGAGAAUCCAUGUUUGACUCGAUCUACAAAGUAUAACUGUUUUAUUCAACAAAUUCCACCAUUUUGCUUAUGCACAAGGUCUUUUUGUUUUAGAUGAGAAGAUUCAUUAUAUCUUGCUAAAGUUUCGUAUUCGAUAUGAUCUUGCAGAAAAAAAAAAUAUAACAGCAAUAUCACAUUUUCUUUUUGAGAGUUCAUUCCAAGCUAAUUGCAGCAUGGGGGCUAGUCUGUUUUGAGAUAAGGCGAGUUGAAAAGUUUGUAUCCAGGCCUUCUAAACAACUGUAGUGGCCAUCUUUGAUGCAAUGUUUCCUCAGUUGCUUUACUGGAAGCGGAACCUUUCAUUGAUGGCAAAGUUGUUCCUCAUGACAGAAAAUACAAUUUGUAAAGAGAGACAAAUAACACGUCCAAAAGCAUUUAAAAUGCCAAAUAACUUUGAGACGAAAGGAGAAGAUGUGCAGAAUUGUUACAUUCAAAACAAAGAGAUGCUCAAUGCCUAACUGAUAUCCGAAGCUCUGUGCCUAACAUGGGAGACAUACCACAUGAUGAAGGUGCAUUGACUUCCAUGAUACACAGGGGAUGGUAACAAAAUUCCUAGCUGAUCUGGAUGCUCUGUGCCUAAAGGAAAAAUCUUCAAAUGGAUGGAGCACCUUACACUGGUGGUGAGUCCUCCUAUCAGACAAUGGAAUGCUGACAAUGGCAGGCUGAAAGAAUGCCAACUGCUGGAAGAGAUCAGGCUAAGCUAUUUGAGCUGAAUGCUGAUUUUUGUUCAAUUGAUGAUUUGCAUGCUGCCCGGAAUCAUAUAAAUAAAUGAACAAAAAUUCCUGUGGCUAAAGCUGUCAUUCUGUAAAGUAUAAGAGCAAAUUGAUUCCAACUCCUAAUAUAGUUUGGUUGAAACCUUUUAUGAUAUGAUUGUUAGAAUAGAAGAUUGUAAUCAAAUUAUUCUGAUUACAUAUCAUCUUCUAUCUUUUUAGAAAUCAGAUUUGAUUGAUAUUAUAGUCUGAUUUGGUUGUAAUCUAAUUUGAUUUGAUUUUGAUCAAAUAUUACAUAUUUGUAAUGUAAAUCAAUCAAGCAAUAGAGUGAAAAUGUUGGGCUCUUCUAUAG
Corylus avellana is the source of this 2291-nucleotide long non-coding RNA. RefSeq lists it as uncharacterized. Lineage: Eukaryota; Viridiplantae; Streptophyta; Magnoliopsida; Fagales; Betulaceae. The record is from RefSeq and is a predicted model, not a curated record.